UACGGAGGGUGCGAGCGUUGUCCGGAAUCAUUGGGCGUAAAGGGCGCGUAGGUGGCAGGCCAAGCGUGCGGUGAAAGCUCGGGGCUCAACCCCGGGUCGGCCGUGCGAACUGGCGUGCUGGAGCACUGUAGAGGCAGGCGGAAUUCCGGGUGUAGCGGUGGAAUGCGUAGAGAUCCGGAAGAACACCGGUGGCGAAGGCGGGUCUCUGGGCCGUAACUGACGCUGAGGAGCGAAAGCGUGGGGAGCGAACAGG
Molecule: ribosomal RNA, 253 nt
Filed under: uncultured bacterium
Lineage: Bacteria
Description: partial 16S ribosomal RNA
Rfam family: Bacterial small subunit ribosomal RNA
Source: RNAcentral